RNAcentral lists this ribosomal RNA (822 nucleotides) under Cellulosimicrobium sp. VC-YC881. RNAcentral describes it as "bacterial SSU rRNA". It matches the Rfam family "Bacterial small subunit ribosomal RNA", at positions 73 to 908 of the family's 1533-position model. The record is from RNAcentral. Lineage: Bacteria; Bacillati; Actinomycetota; Actinomycetes; Micrococcales; Promicromonosporaceae.
UCCCAACUUGCUGGGUGGAUUAGUGACGAACGGGUGAUUAACACGUGAGUAACCUGCCCUUGACUUCGGGAUAACUCCGGGAAACCGGGGCUAAUACUGGAUAUGAGCCGUCCUCGCAUGGGGGUGGUUGGAAAGUUUUUCGGUCAGGGAUGGGCUCGCGGCCUAUCAGCUUGUUGGUGGGGUGAUGGCCUACCAAGGCGACGACGGGUAGCCGGCCUGAGAGGGCGACCGGCCACACUGGGACUGAGACACGGCCCAGACUCCUACGGGAGGCAGCAGUGGGGAAUAUUGCACAAUGGGCGCAAGCCUGAUGCAGCGACGCCGCGUGAGGGAUGAAGGCCUUCGGGUUGUAAACCUCUUUCAGCAGGGAAGAAGCGCAAGUGACGGUACCUGCAGAAGAAGCGCCGGCUAACUACGUGCCAGCAGCCGCGGUAAUACGUAGGGCGCAAGCGUUGUCCGGAAUUAUUGGGCGUAAAGAGCUCGUAGGCGGUUUGUCGCGUCUGGUGUGAAAACUCGAGGCUCAACCUCGAGCUUGCAUCGGGUACGGGCAGACUAGAGUGCGGUAGGGGAGACUGGAAUUCCUGGUGUAGCGGUGGAAUGCGCAGAUAUCAGGAGGAACACCGAUGGCGAAGGCAGGUCUCUGGGCCGCAACUGACGCUGAGGAGCGAAAGCAUGGGGAGCGAACAGGAUUAGAUACCCUGGUAGUCCAUGCCGUAAACGUUGGGCACUAGGUGUGGGGCUCAUUCCACGAGUUCCGUGCCGCAGCAAACGCAUUAAGUGCCCCGCCUGGGGAGUACGGCCGCAAGGCUAAAACUCAAAGGA